ACGUAGGGGGCGAGCGUUGUUCGGAAUUACUGGGCGUAAAGGGCGUGUAGGCGGUGCGGUAAGUCGGGCGUGAAAUCUCCAGGCUCAACCUGGAGAGGCCGUUCGAAACUGCCGUGCUAGAGUGCGGGAGGGGGAAGUGGAAUUCCCGGUGUAGCGGUUCAAUGCGAACAGAUCGGGAGGAACACCUGUGGCGAAGGCGUCUUCCUGGCCCGCAACUGACGCUGAGGCGCGUAAGCUAGGGGAGCAAACAG
RNAcentral lists this ribosomal RNA (251 nucleotides) under uncultured prokaryote. RNAcentral's name for it is "partial 16S rRNA". It matches the Rfam family "Bacterial small subunit ribosomal RNA", at positions 525 to 775 of the family's 1533-position model. The record is from RNAcentral.